RNAcentral lists this ribosomal RNA (1389 nucleotides) under Salmonella enterica. RNAcentral's name for it is "partial 23S ribosomal RNA". It matches the Rfam family "Bacterial large subunit ribosomal RNA", at positions 586 to 1874 of the family's 2925-position model. The record is from RNAcentral. Lineage: Bacteria; Pseudomonadati; Pseudomonadota; Gammaproteobacteria; Enterobacterales; Enterobacteriaceae.
UGGUGGGGUGACUGCGUACCUUUUGUAUAAUGGGUCAGCGACUUAUAUUCUGUAGCAAGGUUAACCGUAUAGGGGAGCCGGAGGGAAACCGAGUCUUAAUUGGGCGUUAAGUUGCAGGGUAUAGACCCGAAACCCGGUGAUCUAGCCAUGGGCAGGUUGAAGGUUGGGUAACACUAACUGGAGGACCGAACCGACUAAUGUUGAAAAAUUAGCGGAUGACCUGUGGCUGGGGGUGAAAGGCCAAUCAAACCGGGAGAUAGCUGGUUCUCCCCGAAAGCUAUUUAGGUAGCGCCUCGUGAAUUCAUCUCCGGGGGUAGAGCACUGUUUCGGCUAGGGGGCCAUCCCGGCUUACCAACCCGAUGCAAACUGCGAAUACCGGAGAAUGUUAUCACGGGAGACACACGGCGGGUGCUAACGUCCGUCGUGAAGAGGGAAACAACCCAGACCGCCAGCUAAGGUCCCAAAGUCAUGGUUAAGUGGGAAACGAUGUGGGAAGGCCCAGACAGCCAGGAUGUUGGCUUAGAAGCAGCCAUCAUUUAAAGAAAGCGUAAUAGCUCACUGGUCGAGUCGGCCUGCGCGGAAGAUGUAACGGGGCUAAACCAUGCACCGAAGCUGCGGCAGCGAACGUAUCACCCAAGACAACUUUACGGAGUUGACGAUUGACGGAGCGAAGCGACGUCAAAGCGUUCAUUAAAGUCGAGUUGGCUUAGGGAUACGUUCGUUGGGUAGGGGAGCGUUCUGUAAGCCUGUGAAGGUGUGUCGUGAGGCAUGCUGGAGGUAUCAGAAGUGCGAAUGCUGACAUAAGUAACGAUAAAGCGGGUGAAAAGCCCGCUCGCCGGAAGACCAAGGGUUCCUGUCCAACGUUAAUCGGGGCAGGGUGAGUCGACCCCUAAGGCGAGGCCGAAAGGCGUAGUCGAUGGGAAACGGGUUAAUAUUCCCGUACUUGGUGUUACUGCGAAGGGGGGACGGAGAAGGCUAUGUUGGCCGGGCGACGGUUGUCCCGGUUUAAGCGUGUAGGUGUGUGUUCCAGGUAAAUCCGGUUCACUUUAACACUGAGGCGUGACGACGAGGCACUACGGUGCUGAAGCAACAAAUGCCCUGCUUCCAGGAAAAGCCUCUAAGCAUCAGGUAACACGAAAUCGUACCCCAAACCGACACAGGUGGUCAGGUAGAGAAUACCAAGGCGCUUGAGAGAACUCGGGUGAAGGAACUAGGCAAAAUGGUGCCGUAACUUCGGGAGAAGGCACGCUGACACGUAGGUGAAGUGAUUUACUCAUGGAGCUGAAGUCAGUCGAAGAUACCAGCUGGCUGCAACUGUUUAUUAAAAACACAGCACUGUGCAAACACGAAAGUGGACGUAUACGGUGUGACGCCUGCCCGGUGCCGGAA